RNAcentral lists this ribosomal RNA (812 nucleotides) under uncultured bacterium. RNAcentral describes it as "bacterial SSU rRNA". It matches the Rfam family "Bacterial small subunit ribosomal RNA", at positions 62 to 905 of the family's 1533-position model. The record is from RNAcentral.
UCGAACGAGAAAGUGGAGCAAUCCAUGAGUAAAGUGGCGACCGGGUGAGUAACACGUGACUAACCUACCUCCGAGUGGGGAAUAACUCCGGGAAACCGGGGCUAAUACCGCAUAACAUCGCAAGAUCAAAGCAGCAAUGCGCUUGGAGAGGGGGUCGCGGCUGAUUAGCUAGUUGGCGGGGUAACGGCCCACCAAGGCGAAGAUCGGUAUCCGGCCUGAGAGGGCGCACGGACACACUGGAACUGAAACACGGUCCAGACUCCUACGGGAGGCAGCAGUGGGGAAUUUUGCGCAAUGGGGGAAACCCUGACGCAGCAACGCCGCGUGGAGGAUGAAGUCCCUUGGGACGUAAACUCCUUUCGACCAAGACGAUAAUGACGGUACUGGUGGAAGAAGCACCGGCUAACUCUGUGCCAGCAGCCGCGGUAAUACAGAGGGUGCGAGCGUUGUUCGGAAUUAUUGGGCGUAAAGGGCGCGUAGGCGGUGCCACAAGUCACCUGUGAAAUCUCCGGGCUUAACUCGGAGCCUGCAGGCGAAACUGUGGUGCUGGAGUAUGGGAGAGGUGCGUGGAAUUCCCGGUGUAGCGGUGAAAUGCGUAGAUAUCGGGAGGAACACCUGUGGCGAAAGCGGCGCACUGGACCAUAACUGACGCUGAGGCGCGAAAGCUAGGGGAGCAAACAGGAUUAGAUACCCUGGUAGUCCUAGCCCUAAACGAUGAUUGCUUGGUGUAGCAGGUACCCAAUCCUGCUGUGCCGCAGCUAACGCGAUAAGCAAUCCGCCUGGGGAGUACGGUCGCAAGGCUGAAACUCAAA